RNAcentral lists this ribosomal RNA (253 nucleotides) under uncultured bacterium. RNAcentral describes it as "partial 16S ribosomal RNA". It matches the Rfam family "Bacterial small subunit ribosomal RNA", at positions 524 to 776 of the family's 1533-position model. The record is from RNAcentral.
UACGUAGGGGGCAAGCGUUGUCCGGAUUUAUUGGGCGUAAAGAGCGUGUAGGCGGCCAGAUAGGUCCGUUGUGAAAACUGGAGGCUUAACCUCCAGCGGUCGGUGGAAACCAUUUGGCUAGAGUCCGGAAGAGGAGAGUGGAAUUCCUGGUGUAGCGGUGAAAUGCGCAGAUAUCAGGAAGAACACCCGUGGCGAAGGCGGCUCUCUGGGACGGUACUGACGCUGAGACGCGAAAGCGUGGGGAUCAAACAGG